GGUGGCAAUAGCGACGGGGUCACACCUGUUCCCAUUCCGAACACAGAAGUUAAGCCCGUCUACGUCGAUGGUACUGCUCGGGAGACCGUGUGGGAGAGUAGAAAGCCGCCGGGU
This 114-nucleotide ribosomal RNA is filed under the name Candidatus Zixiibacteriota bacterium. The record is from RNAcentral. Lineage: Bacteria; Pseudomonadati; Candidatus Zixiibacteriota.